Molecule: long non-coding RNA, 547 nt
Filed under: Heterocephalus glaber (naked mole-rat)
Lineage: Eukaryota; Metazoa; Chordata; Mammalia; Rodentia; Bathyergidae
Description: lncRNA (ENSHGLG00000027097.2)
Source: RNAcentral
CCCGGCGUGGAGUGGAAGCCGGAGAAGACGCAGCCAUGAACGCUUCACCCGAGUCGGGAGAGCGCGCAGAGGGGACCCGCAGGUGGCGAAGCCUAACUGCCCAAGAUGAUGAAAUCCUGACUCAGAAAGGUAAACUUGCUCAAGGUCACACAGUUGUGGCAGAGUCAGGACUUGAACCCAGACACCAGCAUCCAAAGUCUGACCUCUUAACCCCUGCGUGGCCCAGGCUGAGAAUUAAGGGCCAGAUAGAGGCGGAAAGCGACACCGAGAAUCCAUUCCAAACGAGCAGCCAAGAGGAGACGAGGCAGCUCCCAGAUGUUGAUGCUUUGUUUUUUGACAUAAAUCUUUGCACUCAUGUGGGAGUUUUCAUUGAUUCAUGUUCCCAUCUGCUGAAUUUCCUUUUAUUUAUUUAAUAUGGCUUUUUGGGGAAAUCUUGCUCCGAAGCUCUGGAGGGGCAUAAACCGUGGCAACCGCUGCACCCCUCCUCCCUCCUGCCAACCUCGGCUGGGGGAGGGGGGUCGGUGGUGUCCAGAGGGGAGCGCGGCUC